This 497-nucleotide ribosomal RNA is filed under the name uncultured bacterium. RNAcentral's name for it is "partial 16S ribosomal RNA". It matches the Rfam family "Bacterial small subunit ribosomal RNA", at positions 28 to 507 of the family's 1533-position model. The record is from RNAcentral.
GAUGAACGCUGGCGGCGUGCCUAAUACAUGUAAGUCGAGCGAACAGACGAGGAGCUUGCUCCUCUGACGUUAGCGGCGGACGGGUGAGUAACACGUGGAUAACCUACCUAUAAGACUGGGAUAACUUCGGGAAACCGGAGCUAAUACCGGAUAAUAUAUUGAACCGCAUGGUUCAAUAGUGAAAGACGGUUUUGCUGUCACUUAUAGAUGGAUCCGCGCCGCAUUAGCUAGUUGGUAAGGUAACGGCUUACCAAGGCAACGAUGCGUAGCCGACCUGAGAGGGUGAUCGGCCACACUGGAGCGGAGACACGGUCCAGACUCCUACGGGAGGCAGCAGUAGGGAAUCUUCCGCAAUGGGCGAAAGCCUGACGGAGCAACGCCGCGUGAGUGAUGAAGGUCUUCGGAUCGUAAAACUCUGUUAUUAGGGAAGAACAAAUGUGUAAGUAACUAUGCACGUCUUGACGGUACCUAAUCAGAAAGCCACGGCUAACUACGUG